GAUGAACGCUGGCGGCGUGCUUAACACAUGCAAGUCGAACGGGAAUUAUUUUAUUGAAACUUCGGUCGAUUUCAUUUAAUUCUAGUGGCGGACGGGUGAGUAACGCGUGGGUAACCUGCCUUAUACAGGGGGAUACCAGUCAGAAAUGGCUGCUAAUACCGCAUAAGCGCACAGAGCUGCAUGGCCCCGUGUGAAAAACUCCGGUGGUAUAAGAUGGAUCCGCGUUGGAUUAGCUUGUUGGCAGGGUAACGGCCUACCAAGGCGACGAUCCAUAGCCGGCCUGAGAGGGUGAACGGACACAUUGAGACUGAGACACGGCCCAGACUCCUACGCGAGGCAGCAGUGGGGAAUAUUGCACAAUGGGGGAAAUCCUGAUGCAGCGACGCCGCGUGAAGGAAGAAGUAUCUCGGUAUGUAAACUUCUAUAAGCAGGGAAGAUAGUGACGGUACCUGACGAAGAAGCCCCGGCUAACUACGUG
This 478-nucleotide ribosomal RNA is filed under the name uncultured bacterium. RNAcentral's name for it is "partial 16S ribosomal RNA". It matches the Rfam family "Bacterial small subunit ribosomal RNA", at positions 28 to 507 of the family's 1533-position model. The record is from RNAcentral.